UCCUACGGGAGGCAGCAGUGGGGAAUAUUGCGCAAUGGGCGAAAGCCUGACGCAGCGACGCCGCGUGAGGGAUGAAGGUUUUCGGAUCGUAAACCUCUGUCAGAAGGGAAGAAACUACAUUGUGCUAAUCAGCAGUGUACUGACGGUACCUUCAAAGGAAGCACCGGCUAACUCCGUGCCAGCAGCCGCGAUAA
This 194-nucleotide ribosomal RNA is filed under the name uncultured Desulfovibrio sp. RNAcentral describes it as "partial 16S ribosomal RNA". It matches the Rfam family "Bacterial small subunit ribosomal RNA", at positions 337 to 523 of the family's 1533-position model. Lineage: Bacteria; Pseudomonadati; Thermodesulfobacteriota; Desulfovibrionia; Desulfovibrionales; Desulfovibrionaceae. The record is from RNAcentral.